UUUCUGCUGCUGCUGCUUGGAUUUGGACUUCAGUAAGAUUUUGCUCCGGGUCGUGUUUUAAAAUGAUAUAUUGCUAGUCAAUCAGAGGCUGCUAUGUUUGGUUUGUUUAUGGGAUUAUAGCGAUUCAACCUAUUGACUUUAUUUGAUUAAUCAUAGAAUGUCAUUUUUUUUACUUCUCAGUAGACCCUAUUUGCUUCUCUUGAAAAGAGAUUGACGAGUUUAGGAAUUGGGGUUUAUAGUUCUAUGAGCCUUCUUAAGCUUCUAAGGUUUUGGUGAACUUAGUUUUGGUCACUAGGAACUUGAAUUUGUAGUUCGAUGAGUGUUAUUUUAGCUUCUAAGGUCUUAAUGAACUUAGCUUUUCUCAGUAAUUUGAUCUCUUAAUUUACUUAGGAAGCUAUUUGGUUAUGUUUGCUAUUUGUGCGAUUGGGGAACUUAAGAAAUCAAUUCAAUUCUUGACAGGAACAUAUUAUCAAGUUAUACUAUCGAAUUUUAUUUUUAGGAUCUCGAGUAUUUACUUAUUGGGUGGAACUAAAUGGAGUCUCAAUGGUUUUAGGAAGAGAUACCGAAAUAUUAAGUUAUGAAUUAUGUUUCUGAAAGUCCUUUUAAGAUUUCUGUUUUAGAAGAUGAUGCUUUUCUUGGAAUAAAUACAUAGUAGGUUUGAUGAGAAGCUGUGUUACACUUACUGGUCUUAUUUGCUUAAUUCUGCUAAUUGACAGUGUAAGAUAAAUUUUAGAAAUAGGUUUUUGCAAAAUACAUUUCUUGAUAAUCUUGAAAUGUGGUGGAGCUCUAAACGUGUUGUGAAAAUAUGGCCUGAUAGUCUUGAUGGCCUAGCCACUGUAGAGAACAGAUGAAUAUUCCAAUUCACUGUAGAUGUUAUCACAUGAUCUUAGUUUCCGAGCUUUUGACACGUAUUUCGUUUAUUAUCAGUUAUAAAGUACUUGAAAAUUUUGAUCGACGUCUAAGAUUUACUGGAUGUUGACUUUAAAAUGUGCUUCAGAUCAUUGCUUUCUAAAAUCAUAUCGUCUUUCCAAGUUAUUGUUCUUCACAAAACCUCCCUUUUCCUGUCCUGUUUCUUACACUUCUUUAUUUUUUCUUAAGAGCUUUUUUGCUCUGUGGUAAUAAGAUUCUUUUCCUCCUAUCUUCAGAUCAUAGCUUUCUAAAAUCUGUGUUGGCUUAUCCAAUCAAUAGCGAUAUUUCACCUGGGUCUAACGUAAUUGAUUUGUAAUAAGUUUCGGCACUUAAAGUUUAUAAAUUUCAAAGAGAAUGAAAACAAUAUUCUCGUGCAUAUUUAGUGAUUUGGAGAUGCCUGUCCUGCUCUUGCUUCAUAAUAUCUUUUUCAUCUGCAGUUUCAGGAUUAACUAUGAUACUGCAGUUGUAUCUUAUGUUUUCAUCUGUAUACGUGGUUACAUCUAUGUUUUACAGCAUCUGAUUUUCAUCGGUUAUAUGAUCGUAUGUGAUAUGGACAACAGCGCAGUUCAGUCUCAGGGAGGGAAGUAUAACCAGACCCUUGAUCCACAUGGCAGCUCCAGCAGUGGUAAUGCGCACCUUCCGAAUUUGUAAAUCACGGUCUUCUUCUCUGGAAUCAAACAAGGCAUUGUUGGGUAGGAGAUAAAAGAUCUUUGAAUCGUGCUCAUCAGACUCUGGAACUCAAAUCAAACUGGGUAGAUCUAAAGAUUUCUAGAUCAAUCAAAUUAACAUAAUGGUAAAUCUUCCUUGCUUGUGAUAUGUUACAAUAGUGCACUAUGCAGUACUUGAUAUUUAAGCUUGAUUGCUAUAUGCUGCUAUAUAUCUUAACAUGGAGCAUCGUCUGUCAGUCCAAAACUGUUUUUCUUGGCAUUUUACGCUGUAGAGCCAUUUUAACUGCCCUUUUCAAUAGUUUGCAUUUUCUAAAGGUGCAUUUUCCUUGCUGUGAUCUACUGUGACCAAAUGAAUUUUUCUUCUUUUGUAAACGGAAGCUCCAAAAAGCUCUCAUGACUCUGCAAUGACGUCCUUUCCAUCUCUUUUAUAAUUUUAUAUUUUGAAGUAACCUUGUAAAUAUUAGUUUGAACUUUGAAGGCUUCAAACUCUGAUGAAGAACCAAUUAAUUAUAUUUGUUUUAUCGAUUGACCAAAUAUUAUGUAUUUUAAGUGAUUCUUGUCCACUGCUAAUUAAUUAGUAUUUUACUCUGAAAAAUAUUUGAGUGUUAGUAUUCCAUUUCAAAGGAAUGGAAGAAAAUGUUAAUGUUGAUGGAAAUUCCCCUAAGGUUUAUUAAUUUGUUAAUGUCAUAAAAAUUCACCAACUUUACACGUUUUCUCAUUUUAAUCACGCCGUUUAAAAAUUGUCAUUUUCAUACACGAACUACCAACUUUUCUCAAAUAUAUACACAGUUUAAAAAUCCGGUGAAAAUUGCUGAACUGGCAACGUGACAUGUCAUAACGAAUCAGAUAGUGACACGUCAGCAAUUUUUGCCGGAUUUUUGAACAGUGUAUGGAUUUGAGAAAAAUUGAUAGUUGGUGUGUAAAGUUGGUGAAUUUUUUUAACAGUAUCCCUUAUUAAUACCUAUGUAUAGAUUUGCAAAUCUUUAGCACUGAACAUGUAGACGGUGAUACAUUGUUGGCUGUCGGAAAGAUAAACAUUGAUCAUCUCUAAACUUCGUUUCUGGUUUAUGUUGUCAGCACUGAUUUCCUCUGCAUUGGUUAAAAACUUAUGACUUUGCUGCAGUUAUUAUUAAGUAAUAUAUGACAGUUUACUUGGGAGCAACAAACCCUCAGCCUAUUCCGCUCAGUGAAAUGGAAGAUUUUCUCGUGGACAUCUGAGAGCAAGAGAGGUAAGUAUUAUUGAUAAGUGGAAGAUAUAUGUAAGAGUUGGUUAGAAUUGAAAUCCGCCACAAUUAAUGUCAGAUUAAGCCUCUGUUGAACAAUCCAUGCUGUGUUUGUUAACUAUGCAUCCAAACCAUUUAAAUUCACCGGUUGCCAUAUAUGAGCUAUGGUAGAUACCCAUUAAGUUUAGUAAUUAAGUAAAGAAGGCUAUAUCAGAAGUAAAUUGAUAUUGAAAAUGUAAAUGUGUUUGUUCACAUGACAUAACAAGUGUGUUCAUUGAAUAACUUAAUCUAUUGGAUAGAUUGAUUAUUUGACAA
Mercurialis annua (annual mercury) is the source of this 3115-nucleotide long non-coding RNA. RefSeq lists it as uncharacterized. The transcript is spliced from 3 exons. NCBI's taxonomy places the organism in Eukaryota, Viridiplantae, Streptophyta, Magnoliopsida, Malpighiales, Euphorbiaceae. The record is from RefSeq and is a predicted model, not a curated record.